RNAcentral lists this ribosomal RNA (500 nucleotides) under uncultured Glomeromycotina. Its description in RNAcentral is "partial small subunit ribosomal RNA". It matches the Rfam family "Eukaryotic small subunit ribosomal RNA", at positions 591 to 1092 of the family's 1831-position model. The record is from RNAcentral. Lineage: Eukaryota; Fungi; Glomeromycota.
CCAAUAGCGUAUAUUAAAGUUGUUGCAGUUAAAAAGCUCGUAGUUGAAUUUCAGGCCUGGCUGGACGGUCCGCCCUUCGGGUGAGUACUGUCUGUAGUCGGGUCCUACCUUCUGGCGAAGCGUCAUGGCCUUAACCGGCCGUGGCGGGGAACCAGGACUUUUACUGUGAAAAAAUUAGAGUGUUCAAAGCAGGCAAUCGCUUGGAUACAUUAGCAUGGAAUAAUGGAAUAGGACAAUGGUUCUAUUUGUUGGUUUCUAGGACCGUUGUAAUGAUUAAUAGGGAUAGUUGGGGGCAUUAGUAUUCAAUUGUCAGAGGUGAAAUUCUUGGAUUUAUUGAAGACUAACUACUGCGAAAGCAUUUGCCAAGGAUGUUUUCAUUAAUCAAGAACGAAAGUUAGGGGAUCGAAGACGAUCAGAUACCGUCGUAGUCUUAACCAUAAACUAUGCCGACUAGGGAUCGGAUGAUGUUAAUUUUAUAAUGACUCAUUCGGCGCCUUACG